RNAcentral lists this ribosomal RNA (181 nucleotides) under Enterococcus italicus. RNAcentral describes it as "partial 16S ribosomal RNA". It matches the Rfam family "Bacterial small subunit ribosomal RNA", at positions 606 to 786 of the family's 1533-position model. Lineage: Bacteria; Bacillati; Bacillota; Bacilli; Lactobacillales; Enterococcaceae. The record is from RNAcentral.
GGCUCAACCGGGGAGGGUCAUUGGAAACUGGGGAACUUGAGUGCAGAAGAGGAGAGUGGAAUUCCAUGUGUAGCGGUGAAAUGCGUAGAUAUAUGGAGGAACACCAGUGGCGAAGGCGGCUCUCUGGUCUGUAACUGACGCUGAGGCUCGAAAGCGUGGGGAGCAAACAGGAUUAGAUACC